Molecule: non-coding RNA, 298 nt
Organism: Microcebus murinus (gray mouse lemur)
Lineage: Eukaryota; Metazoa; Chordata; Mammalia; Primates; Cheirogaleidae
Source: RefSeq, a predicted model, not a curated record
CAGAAGUGUGCAGAAAAGGAUCUGGGUCCUUUCAGCAGCAAUGUCAACUCUGUGGCUUCCUGACUUGCCAGGCCAGGCAGUGCCCAGAUACUCCAUCAUAUAUGACCUCUACUUGAGCUUCAAGAUGUGCAACAUGACUUUUGGCCAGAAGCCAAUCUCAACUCCUUGCCAUGAAGUUCUCAACAUGGCUGCUUGCUUCCUCAAAGCCACCUAAGGAGAAAGUCUUCUGUUAUGUUAGCUGCCUCCAUCCGGAGUCUAGACUUCUCUUCAUCUACGUCUUAGAAGGGUUCAUGUCCUG